Molecule: unclassified non-coding RNA, 330 nt
Filed under: soil metagenome
Description: partial contains 5.8S ribosomal RNA, internal transcribed spacer 2, and large subunit ribosomal RNA
Rfam family: 5.8S ribosomal RNA (bases 1-120)
Source: RNAcentral
GAUGAAGAGCGCAGCGAAAUGCGAUAAGUAAUGUGAAUUGCAGAAUUCAGUGAAUCAUCGAAUCUUUGAACGCACAUUGCGCCCCCUGGUAUUCCGGGGGGCAUGCCUGUUCGAGCGUCAUUACAACCCUCAAGCUCUGCUUGGUAUUGGGCCCCGCCAGUUCUGGCGGGCCCUAAAGUCAGUGGCGGUGCCUUCCGGCUCCGAGCGUAGUAAUUCUUCUCGCUCUGGAGACCCGGUUGUGUGCUUGCCAACAACCCCCAAUUUUUCUAUGGUUGACCUCGGAUCAGGUAGGGAUACCCGCUGAAUUUAGGCAUAUCAAUAAGCGGAGGA